UCAUUGUUACAGUGGGUUUGAUCCGACAAAACCGACACCAUGUAAGAGUCGUAAGCUUAAUAGUGUUACGGAUAUCAAUUUUUAUUUUAUGGGAUUUUCUCCUGGAAACAUUAUUCAACUGUUCGCAACAAUUUUUUAAGUUUUGAAAAUUGACAGCAAUUAAAUAUAAGUAAGAGAAUAAUUUUAUUGAUGAAUUCUAUGGGGUAUAAUUUUUUUGUUCUCUUGAUUUUUCUCUUGAAGGGAGCCUUGAAGUAGUGGUAAAGUUGUUGUCAUGUGAUGAGAAGGUUAUGGGUUCAAGUCGUAAAAAUAAUGGUAAAAAAGUGGAGUAAAAUUACGUACAAUAAAUUCUUGUGGCUCGACUCUUUCUUGGACCUUGCACAUAACGUAGGCUGCUAAUUGUUUCUCUCAAUUCUUCUCUUCUAAACUUUGUGAUUUAAGAACUUUUGGUAGAGUAUUUUUUGAAUUGCAAUAUGAUUUGAACCUUUUAAAAAU
This 492-nucleotide long non-coding RNA is filed under the name Capsicum annuum. Its description in RNAcentral is "long non-coding RNA (CANN_LNC011987)". Lineage: Eukaryota; Viridiplantae; Streptophyta; Magnoliopsida; Solanales; Solanaceae. The record is from RNAcentral.